AAAUUGAAGAGUUUGAUCAUGGCUCAGAUUGAACGCUGGCGGCAGGCCUAACACAUGCAAGUCGAACGGUAACAGGAAGCAGCUUGCUGCUUCGCUGACGAGUGGCGGACGGGUGAGUAAUGUCUGGGAAACUGCCUGAUGGAGGGGGAUAACUACUGGAAACGGUGGCUAAUACCGCAUAACGUCGCAAGACCAAAGAGGGGGACCUUCGGGCCUCUUGCCAUCAGAUGUGCCCAGAUGGGAUUAGCUUGUUGGUGAGGUAACGGCUCACCAAGGCGACGAUCCCUAGCUGGUCUGAGAGGAUGACCAGCCACACUGGAACUGAGACACGGUCCAGACUCCUACGGGAGGCAGCAGUGGGGAAUAUUGCACAAUGGGCGCAAGCCUGAUGCAGCCAUGCCGCGUGUAUGAAGAAGGCCUUCGGGUUGUAAAGUACUUUCAGCGGGGAGGAAGGUGUUGUGGUUAAUAACCGCAGCAAUUGACGUUACCCGCAGAAGAAGCACCGGCUAACUCCGUGCCAGCAGCCGCGGUAAUACGGAGGGUGCAAGCGUUAAUCGGAAUUACUGGGCGUAAAGCGCACGCAGGCGGUCUGUCAAGUCGGAUGUGAAAUCCCCGGGCUCAACCUGGGAACUGCAUUCGAAACUGGCAGGCUUGAGUCUUGUAGAGGGGGGUAGAAUUCCAGGUGUAGCGGUGAAAUGCGUAGAGAUCUGGAGGAAUACCGGUGGCGAAGGCGGCCCCCUGGACAAAGACUGACGCUCAGGUGCGAAAGCGUGGGGAGCAAACAGGAUUAGAUACCCUGGUAGUCCACGCCGUAAACGAUGUCUACUUGGAGGUUGUGCCCUUGAGGCGUGGCUUCCGGAGCUAACGCGUUAAGUAGACCGCCUGGGGAGUACGGCCGCAAGGUUAAAACUCAAAUGAAUUGACGGGGGCCCGCACAAGCGGUGGAGCAUGUGGUUUUAAUUCGAUGCAACGCGAAGAACCUUACCUGGUCUUGACAUCCACAGAAGAAUCCAGAGAUGGAUUUGUGCCUUCGGGAACUGUGAGACAGGUGCUGCAUGGCUGUCGUCAGCUCGUGUUGUGAAAUGUUGGGUUAAGUCCCGCAACGAGCGCAACCCUUAUCCUUUGUUGCCAGCGGUUAGGCCGGGAACUCAAAGGAGACUGCCAGUGAUAAACUGGAGGAAGGUGGGGAUGACGUCAAGUCAUCAUGGCCCUUACGACCAGGGCUACACACGUGCUACAAUGGCGCAUACAAAGAGAAGCGACCUCGCGAGAGCAAGCGGACCUCAUAAAGUGCGUCGUAGUCCGGAUUGGAGUCUGCAACUCGACUCCAUGAAGUCGGAAUCGCUAGUAAUCGUGGAUCAGAAUGCCACGGUGAAUACGUUCCCGGGCCUUGUACACACCGCCCGUCACACCAUGGGAGUGGGUUGCAAAAGAAGUAGGUAGCUUAACCUUCGGGAGGGCGCUUACCACUUUGUGAUUCAUGACUGGGGUGAAGUCGUAACAAGGUAACCGUAGGGGAACCUGCGGUUGGAUCACCUCCUUA
RNAcentral lists this ribosomal RNA (1543 nucleotides) under Salmonella enterica subsp. enterica. RNAcentral's name for it is "bacterial SSU rRNA". It matches the Rfam family "Bacterial small subunit ribosomal RNA". Lineage: Bacteria; Pseudomonadati; Pseudomonadota; Gammaproteobacteria; Enterobacterales; Enterobacteriaceae. The record is from RNAcentral.